GAUGAACGCUAGCGGCAGGCUUAAUACAUGCAAGUCGUGGGGCAGCAUGAGUAGCAAUACUUGAUGGCGACCGGCAAACGGGUGCGGAACACGUACACAACCUUCCGAUAAGUGGGGAAUAGCCCAGAGAAAUUUGGAUUAAUACCCCGUAACAUAUAGAGUAGGCAUCUUCUUUAUAUUAUAGCUUCGGCGCUUAUUGAUGGGUGUGCGUCUGAUUAGGUAGUUGGCGGGGUAACGGCCCACUAUGCCUACAAUCACUAGCUGAAGUUAGAGUAGGAUCAGCCAAGCGGGUACUAACACACGGCCCGUACUCCUACCGGAGGCAGCAGUAAGGAAUAUUGGACAAUGUGCGAAAGCCUGAUCCAGCCAUGCCGCGUGAAGGAUUAAGGUCCUCUGGAUUGUAAACUUCUUUUAUUUGGGACGAAAAAAGGGAAUUCUUUCCCACUUGACGGUACCAAGUGAAUAAGCACCGGCUAACUCCGUGCCAGCCGCCGCAGUAA
Molecule: ribosomal RNA, 500 nt
Filed under: uncultured bacterium
Lineage: Bacteria
Description: partial 16S ribosomal RNA
Rfam family: Bacterial small subunit ribosomal RNA
Source: RNAcentral